CCCACCGGCUCCGGAGGCUGCACUGACGCCCCAGGGACAGCAGGUGGCGCCCCGACCUCGGUGGCCGAGACGGGAACCCCAGAGGAGCAGACUUUCCUAGAGAGAGGAGGUGUCCGGUGCGCGAGAAGUACGAUCAAUAUUUGACCACCUGGAAGCUCCUGGUUAGCACUAGUGAGGCCGUCCUUCCGCCCCCCCCCUCAGGGCUAAAACAACCUUCCCUGCCUUUUGCUGAGUCCUCCCUGCCCACCCGCUAGCGGCCUGGGACACCGUCCUGUGUGGUGCAGCCCCGUGAGCAGCCCUCGACUUGUGAAAGAUAAUCGGCGCCCACCUUCGUCGCCAUGCCCUCCCUCGCACCCUGGCCAGGGCCCGUAGAACCCCCUGCCUACCCCAGGCCCUCAAGUGAAGCCUGUUGCCUGCAAGUCCGCUGGCUCAGACCCGAGAUCCCACCGGCGGCCGGCUUCUGUGGGUUUAGCAUCUUGUGGUGACAGCGUCUAGCCAGCCAGGUGCUAGACGGGUUGCAGCACACACAGCUGAGCUCAGGGAUCUCACACCAGUUCCGCGUCUCACCCACGCGCAUGGGCCCUCCGGCCCCUCCCCCAGCUCCAGCGCGCUCACCACAGACAGGAAACCUGACCACAAGGGCGCUCAAGCCCUGGCAGCCCUGUGGCUCGGAGAGUCUGCUUGCCAAGGCCAGUGACGACCUCCUCAUGACGUCCCACCGCACGUAAAGCCAAGGCCCACGUCCUUCCAGGCCCAGGAGGCCCCCAGGCUCGGGCCACUGCCCUCCUCCGACCGCGACUCCUCGCCUGGCUCACCCAGCUCUGAGCACGCACAACCUUGCUUUUCUGCAAACACACGCACACGCGCUCUGCCCAAAAGGUCUUCCCCAGAUGUCUCCACGGCUCCGGCUCCACUCCCAUCCCUGCUCAGGUGUCAGCUCCUCAGCCGCCUUCCCUGCCCAGCCUGUCUAACAGUGCAAACAGCCCGGCCGGUGCGGCUCAGUGGUUGAGCGUUGACCUAUGACCCAGGAGGUCACGGUUUGAUUCCC
This is a long non-coding RNA of Myotis myotis, 1048 nucleotides long. RefSeq lists it as uncharacterized. The record is from RefSeq and is a predicted model, not a curated record. The transcript has 3 exons. Lineage: Eukaryota; Metazoa; Chordata; Mammalia; Chiroptera; Vespertilionidae.